RNAcentral lists this ribosomal RNA (769 nucleotides) under uncultured bacterium. Its description in RNAcentral is "bacterial SSU rRNA". It matches the Rfam family "Bacterial small subunit ribosomal RNA", at positions 590 to 1373 of the family's 1533-position model. The record is from RNAcentral.
GGACGUGAAAUCUCCUGGCUCAACUAGGAGAGGUCGUUCAAAACUGCCUGGCUAGAGGGCGACAGAGGGAGGUGGAAUUCCCGGUGUAGUGGUGAAAUGCGUAGAUAUCGGGAGGAACACCAGUGGCGAAGGCGGCCUCCUGGGUCGCACCUGACGCUCAGACGCGAAAGCUAGGGGAGCGAACGGGAUUAGAUACCCCGGUAGUCCUAGCUGUAAACGAUGUGGACUUGGCGUUGGUGGGGUUAAAUCCAUCAGUGCCGUAGCUAACGCGAUAAGUCCACCGCCUGGGGACUACGGUCGCAAGAUUAAAACUCAAAGGAAUUGGCGGGGGCCCGCACAAGCAGCGGAGCGUGUGGUUUAAUUCGAUGCUACACGAAGAACCUUACCCGGGUUUGACAUCCAGGUGGUAGGGAACCGAAAGGCGACCGACCCUUCGGGGAGCCUGGACAGGUGCUGCAUGGCUGUCGUCAGCUCGUGUCGUGAGAUGUCCGGUUAAGUCCGGUAACGAGCGCAACCCUUGCUGUAUGUUAUACGUGUCAUACAGGACUGCCGGUUAGAACCGGAGGAAGGCGGGGAUGACGUCAAGUCAGCAUGGCCUUUAUAUCCGGGGCUACACACACGCUACAAUGGUCAGUACAACAGGUUGCAAACCGCGAGGUGGAGCCAAUCCCCAAAACUGGCCUCAGUUCAGAUUGCAGGCUGCAACCCGCCUGCAUGAAGUUGGAGUUGCUAGUAACCGCGCGUCAGCUAUAGUGCGGUGAAUACGUUC